ACUCAACACUAAUUCAAUUAAAAGAGGUGAGUUUAAAUUGCAAAAGCAAGCCACCUUCGAGUGGAUCCUUGAACAAUUUGGCAGCCUCAAACCUGUUUAUUUCAGAGUUU
Molecule: non-coding RNA, 110 nt
Organism: Flavobacteriaceae bacterium TMED81
Lineage: Bacteria; Pseudomonadati; Bacteroidota; Flavobacteriia; Flavobacteriales; Flavobacteriaceae
Source: Rfam